RNAcentral lists this ribosomal RNA (266 nucleotides) under uncultured Staphylococcus sp. Its description in RNAcentral is "partial 16S ribosomal RNA". It matches the Rfam family "Bacterial small subunit ribosomal RNA", at positions 96 to 354 of the family's 1533-position model. Lineage: Bacteria; Bacillati; Bacillota; Bacilli; Caryophanales; Staphylococcaceae. The record is from RNAcentral.
CGGCGGACGGGUGAGUAACACGUGGAUAACCUACCUAUAAGACUGGGAUAACUUCGGGAAACCGGAGCUAAUACCGGAUAAUAUAUUGAACCGCAUGGUUCAAUAGUGAAAGACGGUUUUGCUGUCACUUAUAUAUGGAUCCGCGCCGCAUUAGCUAGUUGGUAAGGUAACGGCUUACCAAGGCAACGAUGCGUAGCCGACCUGAGAGGGUGAUCGGCCACACUGGAACUGAGACACGGUCCAGACUCCUACGGGAGGCAGCAGGC